Molecule: long non-coding RNA, 12321 nt
Filed under: Populus tremula
Lineage: Eukaryota; Viridiplantae; Streptophyta; Magnoliopsida; Malpighiales; Salicaceae
Description: long non-coding RNA (PTRE_LNC001325)
Source: RNAcentral
UGGGGCUGCGUAGCCGAUGGUGCCUUUCAAACCAACAGAGCUAGUUUGGUUUGAAGCUUCCGAAUGGAACCUCGCUAAUCCAAAGUCUCCAACAUGAGCAGUCAUGUUAGUGUCUAGAAGAAUAUUGCUUGGCUUCAAAUCGCAAUGAAUGAUAGGCAUUUGACAACCGUGAUGCAAAUAGUUCAGUGCGCUAGCCACAUGAAUUGCAAUGUUUAACCUAUGCGUGAGAUCCAAAGCUUUUGGCUCGCUUGCCUCGUCUGAUGUUUGAACUGGAUGCAACCACUCUUCUAGACUUCCAUUGACCAUGAACUCGUAAACUAGAGCUUUAAAAUCAUUACCUUGGAAAUCAAUGCUGGAACAUGUAGUCAAUAACCUGACAAGAUUCCGAUGCCUGAUGCUCUUCAAAGCUUCACAUUCUGCCAUAAAACUUUUGGAGGCUCCUUUACGUAGAAGGUUGAGAACUUUCACUGCAACGACUAUGUUAUCUGUUCCGAGAAUUCCUUUGAAGACAGACGCAAACCUUCCUUCACCAAUUAAAUUUGCUGAAGAGAACCCAUCAGUUGCCCCGAGGAGAUCUUGAUAGGUUACUCUAGGAAAUGAGGUCUCCAAUGAAGGCUGAGAAGCAGCAGGCUUAGCUUUCUUCUUUCUCAAGCAAUAGAAAAGCAAGAAAGAGAUGAUCAAGAUCACUCCCAGAAAGCCACAAACACUUCCGAUUAUCCAUAUCAGCUUGGUCGGAGAUUUCGAAUUGGUUUGCUCACUGGAUGGGCAUCUGGUCAGAUUUAACUGGGGUAUUCCCCCACAAAGCUUCUUGUUUCCGAAAAUAGAAAUUGCACUUGUAUUCUGAAAGGCUCCUUGGACUGGCACCUCACCUUCAAGGUCAUUAAAAGAAAUAUCCAGACUCUCCAAUAAUUUAAAGUUCUCCAAGAACUCAGGAAUUUGGCCUGUUAGGUUGUUGUUGUUGGUGGAAGAAACUACUGGUGGUGGCUUUGAAACACUCAGAGGGGAUAAAACACGAAGUUUUAUUACAAAAAAACAGAAGCUUAACAAUAACAAUAAAGCUUUACAAUACACACCCUCUCUCUCUCUAUAUCUAUUGUUUUUCUCUUCUCUCCACACUUAUAAUAACCUUAGCUUAGAUGCUUAUUUAUACUCAAAUUCAGUCGGCUCAAAAUUCAACCGUCAUGGUGUGAAAGCGGUUGGCGGCCAAUUGUGUGAAUGCGGCUAGGCGGUGGCAGCUGGUGGCUGGUGGCCGGUGAGGCGGUGGUUGCCUUCCUUGACCUUCUGGAUGUUGAGUUUAAUAUUCAACAAAUCUCCCCCUUAAACUCAAUCGAGGGAUGUCAUGCCUAGCAUGUACUUUAAUUUGAUAAAUACUUCUCUUUUCAAUGGCUUUGUGAAGAUGUCUGCAACUUGAUCAUUUGUGUUGCAAGAUAUCAGUUGAACUUCUUCAUUCUUCACAUGUUCCCGGAUAAAGUGAUGACGUGUAUCAAUAUGUUUGCUCCUCUCAUGAUACACUGGAUUCUUUGCCAAUGCGAUUGCUGAUCGGUUGUCAAUAUAAAUCUCCGUAGGAUUUUCUUGAGGAAAUCCCAAAAACUUCAGCAUAUUCCUUAACCAUAUUGAGUGGCAUACGGCUGAGUUGGCAGCUACAUAUUCAGCUUCACAGCUUGAUAACGUGACAAUCGAUUGCUUCUUGGAUGACCAUGUGAAAGAUGUGUCUCCCAUGAAAAAGACAAACCCUGUUGUGCUUUUCCUUUCAUCCAAAUCUCUACCCCAAUCACUAUCCGAGUAGCCUACAAGAUUAAAGUCUUUACUUGAGGUAUAAAACAUACCUUCAUUCAUUGUGCCUUUGAUGUAGCGAAGAAUUCUCUUGGCUGCAUUCAAAUGAGACUGGUCUGGUGUCUCCAUGUAUCUGCUGACGAGUCCGACUCCGUAGAGUAUAUCCGGUCUGGUACAUGUCAAGUACCUUAAGCUUCCUACUAAGCUUUUGAAAUAAGUUGGAUCAACAUUUCCAACCUUACUCUUCCUCAAUUCCACUCCAUUCUCAACUGGAGUUGAUACCGGAUUGCAGCUUUCCAUCUUGAACCUUUCAAGAAUAUCUUUGGCGUAACCGCUUUGGGAUACAAAAAUCCCUUCUUCCUUCUGCGUUACUUCUAAGCCAAGAAAAUGUGACAUUAGACCAAUGUCGGUCAUUUCAAACUCUUGUACCAUGCUUCGUUUGAAAUCGUCAAACAUGGUAGGGUUGUUGCCGGUGAAUAUCAAAUCAUCAACAUACAGGCACGCAAAUAAGAUGCUGCCAUCUGCUCCUUUCUUCACAUAUAUAUCGUGUUCAUAUGGACAUUUCUCAAAUCCAUUAUCUUGAAAAUACCUGUCAAUUCUGGUAUUCCAAGCACGCGGAGCUUGCUUCAAACCAUAGAGAGCCUUCCAUAUAUCAUGUGAUGUUUCAGCGGAAGCUAUUAUCUCGAAUGUAUCUUCAUCAAGACCUUGAUAGAUGAUGGUCUUUGCCUUGUUGUCCUUCUUUCUGUUGACUUUAAGAACUUGCUUAUGUGCCUCUUGUAAAGCAUCUUCUCUUUCUUUGGACUCUGGUUCAUCAUAACCAGUUUGUACAAUAUCCAAACACUCUUGUGACCCAAGGAAUGCCUUCAAUUUGAUGCACCAACUAUCAUAGUUGUCUUUGGUCAGCUUCGGGAUGAGUGUAUGUGUACCUUCUGUAGUCAUUUUGCUCUUUGAAUGACUAUAUCACCUUUCUGGGAGCCGAAUUUGGCCAAACGGACACUGUAGAUCGAUCCGGAAUGGUCCAAAUAGUAGGGAACCGGUCUGACUUUGUUGAAAUCGGGUCAGAAAAUGGGUGAACCGGUCAAAAAACCAAUUCUAUACGGCGGGCGGUUCGCUGGGUUGAACCGGGAAUAUUCUGUGGAAUAUUUGGGGAAUAUUCUCUCGGCGCGCUGGCGGCUGGAAGCUGCUCGGCUCGGCUCGGCUUAGGCGGCUUAAACGGCUGAAAUAUGGCGCGCGUGGACGACACUCGUCGUCUUCCUCUGGAGCGCGUGAGUGACAGUCACCGGAUCUUCAGGCGGCGCAUGUGGAUCACCCCGGACUCCGAUCAGGCUGAUUUUUGCGGCAGUGAGUUCGUCUUGAUGAGGUCUACACUGUGGAGUGAUUCAAACUUGUUUUUGACAACUUUGAAAUUUCAGAUAUACCCCACAACUCUUCUGUUUUCCGACGAACGGGGCUCUGAUACCAAUUGUUGGUGGGAGAAACCACUGGUGGUGGCUUUGAAACACUCAGAGGGGAUAAAACACGAAGUUUUAUUACAAAAAACAGAAGCUUAACAAUAACAAUAAAGCUUUACAAUACACACCCUCUCUCUCUCUAUAUCUAUUGUUUUUCUCUUCUCUCCACACUUAUAAUAACCUUAGCUUAGAUGCUUAUUUAUACACAAAUUCAGUCGGCUCAAAAUUCAACCGUCAUGGUGUGAAAGCGGUUGGCGGCCAAUGCUAUGAAUGCGGCUAGGCGGUGGCAGCUGGUGGCUGGCGGCUGGUCGGUGAUAGCUGGUGGCCGGUGAGGCGGUGGUUGCCUUCCUUGACCUUCUAGAUGUUGAGUUUAAUAUUCAACAGUUGCAGGAGAGAUUAAGUUCUUGAAUUGCUCUCAAAGAACUCAAAGUGUUAGGGAUUGGCCCUUGCAAAAAGUUUUCCUCCAAAUACAAACUUUCCAAACUCAUGAAAGCUUAUUUUUAGAAACGUCCAGAUAUCCAAGAUUCACCAACUUCUCCAUUUCUAUCGGAAGAGAUCCUGUCAGGUCAUUCUCCGAUAGUACCAAGUAAAUUGAUAAGGAUGGGAUACUAACUAGUUCUUUUGGAAUGGGGCCACUCAAAUUAUUUUGCGAGAGAAGCAAGAACAAUAACUUCUGCCAAUUUCCCAGACUUGGUGGAAUGCUUCCCUCUAAAUUAUUGAGUCUCAUGUUAACUCUCUCUAAAGAAGUCAUAUUCCCCAUUGAAGAUGGGAUCAUCCCAGAGAUUUUGUUUCCAUUAAGAAAUAGAGCACCCAGCUUCUGUAGUUUCCCCAUAGAACUUGGUAUCAUGCCAGUCAAUUGAUUUUUAUCCAACCCUAAAACCACCAAGUUGACGAGGUUUCCAAUUUCGGCUGGAAUGCUCCCACGGAUUUGAUUCCUCGCAAAUGCCAUCCUCAUAAGCUUUGUGGAGAAGUUGCUUAUUAUUUCAGGAAGCACCCCUCCAAAAUUGUUAUUACUUGUAUCCAAAACCUCCAAACUAGUCAUGUUAUUUGCUAAAGGAUAGACAAAAUUCAAGUCAUUAAUUUCACCUUUUCCCAGAUUAUUAUUAACAACACGCAAAACUUGCAAAUCAUGUGAGCUUGACAGUGGUGGAACUUUUCCAUUGAAGUUGUUAUUUCCAAUGUCAAAAGAAAGGAGAUUUGAAGCAUUAGAGAAAGUUGCAGGAAUUAGCCCACCGAAUUGGUUAGUGGCGAUAUUAAACACUUGAAGGUUUAGAAGAGUUAGGCCUAAGGUAUGAGGAAGACUCCCAUAAAGCUGGUUAACUGGGAAAGAUAGUAGAGUAAGAGAAGAGAGAUUGAAUAUAGAAGGAGGAAUCAUACCAGAUAGAUUAUUUACACCAAGCGAGAGUUUUUUCAAUCGUUUCAAUUGUCCUAAAACAUUCGGAAUACUUCCUUCCAAAUUAUUUAUGUACCUAUAAAUUACAUUGAUAGCUGACAGAUUUCCAAAAGAAUAUGGUAUCUCGCCAACAAAAUUAUUGAGUUGAAAAGUCAGUACCUGCAACUUUGAUAAUAACCCAAGUUCGGCAGGAAAUUUGCCUGUCAAGUUGCCUCUACUGAGAUCAAGGAUUCGGAGGUUUGCACAACGCGAGAUGUUGGUAGGGAUUCCACCAUCGAACGUGUUGUUCCUGAGGACCAACUCCUCCAGACGAAACAAACGACCUAACUCUUGAGGGAUAUAAAGGCUUAAGCUAUUAUUUGCCAAGUUUAAUAUCCUGAGGAAACUCAAGUUGCCUGUGUGGGGAGAUAGGCUGCCCACUAGCUGGUAAGAGUGUAGGUCAAGCUCCACAACCCUUUGAUGGCGGCGUCCACAAGUAACACCUGACCACCGGCAGAAGUGGGACGAUUCAUUCCACGAGCUUAGCUUACCAAGGGGGUCGCCGGUUAUUUGAGCUUUAAAAGCCAGCAGGGAGAGUCUGUCGGUCUCAUUUCCUCCAUAUACCGGGAAGGAAAAAGAAACGAGUAGAUAUAUUUGCAAGAAGAUUGGCCACAAUAUCCAUGAACUCAUGCCAGGCAGCAUCAUUUUGACGCUAAUCUCCAGAGCUUUACUAGUACUGAUUAUUGAAGGUAUUGUAAACAAUAUUGUUAUAUGAUGAACGUGGAGGCUUGGAGCUGUAAAUUGCUUACUUUUGACUACAGAUGAAUGAUCAUGAGGACACGGUAGUUAAUGAAAAAGCUAGAGCCGACAAAGAUUUUAAGAUGUACUAUCGCGAGAGAAUAAUUGCUAUGCUGUGUUGUGUGAAAGUCGAUAAAAAAAGAUGAAGAAAAAACGUGUAAACUGUUUUGCUUUUCUUCUGUGUGUAAUCGGUCAAUAAUUGCUUGAGUUUUGAAAUGUUUUAAUAAUUCAUUUACAUGCGUUUCAAAUGGGUUAUAAAAAGGGAAAAAUUGCGUGCUCCUCGUGGCUCUCUUGACGUGGUCGUCAAUGCAAAUUUCUGGACCAUAUCUUAAUUAAUUUCUUAAUUCUUGAGAACAAAGUCCAAGUCAAACCAUCCAUGCCCAUUAUCUCGUUGCAUUAAAACAAAAACAUUAAUUUAUGCACAUUUUUAGCACCAGCGAUCGACCAUAACUUGUUUUAAAAAUUAUAGCAGUAAAUUGUAGAGAAAGAAAUUUGAGUUUCUUAAGCUCUAAAAUUGCAACUAAAUUAUAAUGUGAAUAUAUAAUAAUCUUAAACCAUGCAAAAUUAACAUACUAAUUGUUUUAAAUAGAACACUUAAACUAGAGAACUCACAGCAAGUAAGAUUUUGAAACCCAACUAUGAAAAGAACAUAAAAAUAACUAUGAAACAAUAUUUUUUAUAUCUAAUUAAUUUGGGUAUGAUUAGAGUCAACUGAUUCACUAUAAAAUCAGAUUUAUAAAAUACACUUGAAAUUUUUUAACUUAAUCCACUCAUGGAAUUAAAAAAUCACAGACAUUUUUAUUGAAAAAAAAUAAUGUUUAGUUUGUCUAGACUCAACCAUUAUAUUAUAUAGAUCUCACGGUGGCCAGUGAAAAAAACACCGUUAAUAAUGAAAAAAAAAUAAUAAAAAAAGUUGUCGGUGAUAGAUCAGUGGUUAAUUGUUGGAACUUUGAUGACUGAGAUAAAGAGAAUAAGGAUUCAGUGACUUAGAGAUUUUGAUUUUUUCUGUGCUGUGUUGUGUGAAAGUCGAUAAAAAAAGAUGAAGAAAAAACGUGUACACUGUUUUGCUUUUGCUCUGUGUGUAAUAGGUCAAUAAUUGCUUGACACCCGGAGCCGGAAGGAAUAUAAUUAUAUAUCCACUCCAAUCAUUCUCCGGCAUCAUUUUCCCGCAAAACAAGUUAGCGCGAAUUCACAAGACAUCGACUAAUUAAUUAUAAUUAAAAUGUAGAUAACCGGGACUAGAAACAAGCUCCCUGUGGGAUGUUUCAAGAAAUUGUACCCCCAGUAUCUCCGUUUAAUUAUGGUGUUUUUGUCUUUAAAAGCUUUGGAUUGUAACAAAUUUCGUUAUUCCUUGCUCUUAUCUGUAUCAGCUGGUAAAAAAAUUCAACGUUUCUUAAUGGUUUUGGUUAGUGAUAGUAAAAUAAUGUAAAUAAAAUAUAAAGAGAUCCAAUGAAAAAAAAAAGAAGAAGAAGAGAAAUGGAUUGCAUAAAAAAACAAAGCAAAAAAAAAAAGAAAAAGAAAAUAAAAACUACACAGAUACAUCAAAUCUUAAAUUACAACAUUUUCGGUAUUAUCAUAAAGAAUCUUAACAAAAUAAACUUGUUGACCAUAAAAAAUUAUUUUUUAAUGUCUUGGUGAUUCAUAGGCAUCGUUAAAAGUUAACAAAUCAAAAUUUUAAUUUUUUUUCCUUCUCUUUUAUCUAUUUGGGCUUGCAAGUCCAAUUUCAAAACAUAUUACAUUGCAAUCCAAGCGAGACCCAAAUUCAAAUCAAAUUAACCCAAUUUUCUUCGUUUCCACUACGAGCCUUAAGUUGGACCACAUCAAAAUCAAGAUUAGUCCAUAAUAACAGGCAGGUCCACAAGGAAGUGUUAGCAACAAAAACGCCCCAAGCCCAUUAUAAACAUUAAUCCAAUAUUAGCGGGCCAAAAGCCCAAGUAUUUAAUGGCCUUGUUCUCUAAAAGCAGCCCAGCAACAAAAGAUCAAGUGAAUAUUUGAAUUAGAGAAGAAAUAAUACGAUGAAGUGAAAGAAUCUUCAUCUUGUUGGACAGCCCGGUUUGACUCGGUUUGAAAUCUAACUUAUUAGAUAAUUAAGUUAAUUUAGAAGUAAUUGUGUCAUUUCAGUAAAUUAUUUUAUUCAAAACCAUGUUGUUUUAAUUUUUUUUGUUAAAAUUAUCUUGUCACAUCAACUUAUAGAAUUACACAAAUUUAUCUAGCUUAAUGUGCAAAACAAUUCAAAAUGAAACUCUACUUAAGUUAGAAUUGAUCCAAUAAAUAAUGAAACCAGAUGAAUGAUAGUCAAACUUUUUUUUUUGAUAUUUUUUGGGUGUUCGGGCCAGCUUGCGUGCACCUUGACUAAUCUCCAUAGUUUUAAAACUCGGCCCGGCGGGUCGACCCGGGCAUGGAACCGGUCCGGGUGGAGGCCAAAACCGGUCGACCCGGGACCCGGUUGACUCGGCAAGACCCGGCCACAAACCCGUUGACUUUUAUUUUUUUUGUUUUUUUUUGCUAAAACGACGUCGUUUUGUUUUUUUUUUAAAAAAUUAAAAAAUAAAUUUUGACCCGGCCGAGACCCGGUGACCCGGUCAAAACCCGGAACCCGGGCCUUGGACCGGGCCGGGUCUUAAAACUAUGCUAAUCCCACGGGCCCUGAAGUUAACGACCAUGUAAACCUCCAGUGGCUAUUAUAUGAGCAACCACAGGGCUCGAACCUAAAAUCACAGAGGGAGCAAACCAAAAAUAGAUAUAGCUACUGUUUUUUUAUUGUGUUUUAAAUGGGGUUUAGGUAAAAAUUGAAUUUUUUUAUUUAAAAUUAAUUUUUUUAAAAUGUUUUAUUAUUUUUAAGAAUUUUAUAUUAAAAAUAUUUUUUAAAAAAAAAUUAAAAAAUUAAAAAAUUUAUUUUAAUAUAUUAUAAAAUAAAAAUAUACUUUUAAAAAACUACUGGAACCACACUUUAAACAUCACUUUACUCACGGCACGUGAAAGAUUAUCGGGAGACACCUUUGCGCACAUGACCAAAAAGAAAACUAAGAAGGAUUACUCUUGUGUACGGAAAUGUUAGUCUUAGUGUCUAGAAUUGAAACAAAUCGAACCUUGACAAUGUACUGUAACAUGAUAAUUAAACGGAAUACCAGUCCCAUAAGAUGAAUAUUGAUUGUUACAUGUAUAGUAAGUUGUAAUGAAAUGAAAUAUAAAGUAAUAGAAGAAGGUGGAAACGAGAAUUCGUUUCUUCUUCAAUGAUUCAUCACAUUAAAUGAUCUACCAGCUGUAUGGAGGAGAAAGCCGCAACUUAUUCCAGUUCUGUGAAUUCAUCUGACGAUUGUGAGAAUCUUUUUGAUGACAAUGGUAUUCCCUUCACAUUUGGUACAUACACAUCAGAGUUGCUUCGACAAAAGAAUGGAAAAGGACAUGCGAUCCCUCCACAUAUGCUAGCACGACUCAAGCUACUGCGCCUCUUGAUUCGUGAAGAUUGUUUCAAGUUUUGUUUCUCGUAGCCGUCUGGUUUAUUUCUUGCAGGCUUGAUCAUCCAACUAUUUGAGCCUUUGUUAGUAUCUUCAUCGUUGUCAUCAUCAACAGCAUCAAGAAAUGCACCUAGUGUUGAAAAUGGUGGUGGAAUGUUUUUUUUUUUCUUGAAUUUGAGAGGAAUAAUGAUUUCCCGAUUAAGGAAAGGUUCCCUUAUGGAUGAAAAUUCUUGAUCAAUGCUGUUUCCUUUGCUUGUAUUGAUCUUGAUUAGAUUCAAGCUCUCAUGCCUUGAAUCCUUUCCAGUCAAGGUAGCAUCAAGACAUACCUGUGGAGGUGGACAUACAGGUUGUUCUUGUGCAUGUGUCAACGGAGGAAUAAUUUUCUUGAUUUCAAUAGGGGCGACGACCUCUUCCCAUUGAGGAAUUGUUCGUCUGCCAGUGGAGAUUCUAGAUUGAUGGUGUCGCUGUGAAAGCAAAAAUCUGAAUUCAGUGAACUUGAUUGGGGAGGGCGCUGUUCUAUCGGCGCAAUGUCUCUCUCGGAAAAAUCAUGAGAAAAAGAGAUUCUAGGACUCGCACAAGAAUCAUCCAAGCAUAAUUCAUUAGCCAUUACUUGAAAUUCUUGAAGAAAGCACAGCAAGAUUGUUCAAAGAAAACAACAAUUUCUGUUUUGAUGGUAAGCUAUCUAGAGGAGAAUGAAAGUCCUUGCAUUUUGAUCACCACAGGCACCUGCAGCACAUAAGAGAUGAUUAGUUUGCAUGGAAUACAAUUAAUUGAUCGAUCUUUAUUGCCAUGUGUAAUCCUGGCCUGAGUAAUUAAUAUAAUGGCUGAGCUCUCUACCUUCUGUUAAGAAAAUGCUUUCAUGUUUGUCGGUGCAUCUUAGUUCCAAGAAGAGUGUCUUUGAUUCGAUUCAGUUCAGCCACAACAUCGCCAAUGUCCAUCCUCUCUCCUGGAAGUUCUACUGAACAAGCAACUCCCAUCUUGAUAAUUGUCAUCAAACAUGCAAAUAUUUCAUGAGGUCCAAUAUGGUACAGGUCCAUUUCGUCAGAGGAAUUGACACUUCGGAUUUCUCUCACAAGUAACGGAUCCACGACUUCGACAAUGCGGUCUGGCAGUGCCAUUUUAGCAUAGCUGUGAAGGUUCAGCCCAUCUUUGAACAUGCCAUCUACAGGCCUCUUUCCAGUAAACAUCUCCAACAAUAGGAUGCCAUAGCUGUACACAUCACCGUAAGUGGACACCUUGCCUCCGAUACCAUAUUCUGCGAUUUAUAUACAUGGUUUGUACAAAGUUAUUUAUGACCUUGAAGACUAGAACAAAGAUUCAAAACACGGGGCAUUUCUUAACAUCCUAAAUCCAUCACGACGGAAAGAAAUUUCACAACCAGUAAAUAAUGAAAAACCAUGAGUGUUACCUGGGGCUGCGUAGCCGAUGGUGCCUUUCAAACCAACAGAGCUAGUUUGAUUUGAAGCUUCCGAAUGGAACCUCGCUAAUCCAAAGUCUCCAACACGAGCAGUCAUGUUAGUGUCUAGAAGAAUAUUGCUUGGCUUCAAAUCGCAAUGAAUGAUAGGCAUUUGACAAUGGUGAUGCAAAUAGUUCAGUGCGCUAGCCACAUGAAUUGCAAUGUUUAACCUAUGCCUGAGAUCCAAAGCUUUUGGCUCGCUUGCCUCGUCUGAUGUUUGAACUGGAUUCAACCACUCUUCUAGACUUCCAUUGACCAUGAACUCGUAAACUAGAGCUUUGAAAUCAUUACCUUGGAAAUCAAUGCUGGAACAUGUAGUCAAUAACCUGACAAGAUUCCGAUGCCUGAUGCUCUUCAAAGCUUCACAUUCUGCCAUAAAACUUCUGGAGGCUCCUUUACGUAGAAGGUUGAGAACUUUCACUGCAACGAGUAUGUUAUCUGGUCCAAGAAUUCCUUUGAAGACAGACCCAAAACUACCUUCACCAAUUAAAUUUGCUGAAGAGAACCCAUCAGUUGCCCCGAGGAGAUCUUGAUAGGCUACUCUAGGAAAUGAGGUCUCCAAUGAAGGCUGAGAAGCAGCAGGCUUAGCUUUCUUCUUUCUGAAGCAAUAGAAAAGCAAGAAAGAGACGAUCAAGAUCACUCCCAGAAAGCCACAAACACUUCCGAUUAUCCAUAUCAGCUUGGUCGGAGAUUUCGAAUUGGUUUGCUCACUGGAUGGGCAUCUGGUCAGAUUUAACUGGGGUAUUCCUCCACAAAGCUUCUUGUUUCCGAAAAUAGAAAUUGCACUUGUAUUCUGAAAGGCUCCUUGGACUGGCACCUCACCUUCAAGGUCAUUAAAAGAAAUAUCCAGACUCUCCAAUAACUUAAAGUCCUCCAAGAACUCAGGAAUUUGGCCUGUCAGGUUGUUGCAGGAGAGAUUAAGUUCUUGAAUUGCUCUCAAAGAACUCAAAGUGUUAGGGAUUGGCCCUUGCAAAAAGUUUUCCUCCAAAUGCAAACUUUCCAAACUCACACAACUACCAAGACUUUGAGGAAUUUCUCCAGAAAACCUGUUUUUAGAAACGUCCAGAUAUCCAAGAUUCACCAACUUCUCCAUUUCUAUCGGAAGAGAUCCUGUCAGCUCAUUCUCCGAUAGUACUAAGUACAUUGAUAAGGAUGGGAUACUAACUAGUUCUUUUGGAAUGGGACCACUCAAAUUAUUUUGCGAGAGAGCCAGGGACAAUAACUUUUGCCAAUUUCCCAGACUUGGUGGAAUGCUUCCCUCUAAAUUAUUGAGUCUCAUGUUAACUCUCCCUAAAGAAGUCAUAUUCCCCAUUGAAGAUGGGAUCAUCCCAGAGAUUUUGUUUCCAUUAAGAAAUAAAUCACUCAGCUUCUGUAGUUUCCCCAUAGAACUUGGUAUCAUGCCAGUCAAUUGAUUUGUUUCCAACCCUAAAGCCACCAAGUUGACGAGGUUUCCAAUUUCGGCUGGAAUGCUCCCACGGAUUUGAUUCCUCGCAAAUGUCAUCCUCAUAAGCUUUGUGGAGAAGUUGCUUACUAUUUCAGGAAGCACCCCUCCAAAAUUGUUAUCACUUGUAUCCAAAGCCUCCAAACUAGUCAUGUUAUUUGCUAAAGGAUAAACAAAAUUCAAGUCAUUAUUUUCACCUUUUCCCAGAUUAUUAUUACCAACACCAAAAACUUGCAAAUCACGUGAGCUUGACAGUGGUGGAACUUUUCCAUUGAAGUUGUUAUUUCCAAUUUGAAAAGAAAGGAGAUUUGAGGCAUUAGAGAAAGUUGUAGGAAUUAGUCCACCGAAUUGGUUAGUGUGGAUAUUAAACACUUGAAGGUUUGGAAGAGUUAGGCCCAAGGUAUGAGGAAGACUCCCAUAAAGCUGGUUAACUGGGAAAGAUAGUAGAGUAAGAGAAGAGAGAUUGAAUAUAGAAGGAGGAAUCAUGCCAGACAGAUUAUUUGCACCAAGCGCGAGUUUUUUCAAUCGUUUCAAUUGUCCAAAAACAUUCGGAAUACUUCCUUCCAAAUUAU